AUUGAACGCUGGCGGCAGGCCUAACACAUGCAAGUCGAACGAGUGGCGGACGGGUGAGUAAUGUCUGGGAAACUUCCCGAUGGCGGGGGAUAACUACUGGAAACGGUAGCUAUUACCGCAUACCAUCGGAUGUGCCCCGGUGGGAUUAGCUAGUAGGGGGGGUAACGGCUCACCAAGGCGACGAUCCCUAGCUGGUCUGAGAGGAUGACCAGCCACACUGGAACUGAGACACGGUCCAGACUCCUACGGGAGGCAGCAGUGGGGAAUAUUGCACAAUGGGCGCAAGCCUGAUGCAGCCAUGCCGCGUGUAUGAAGAAGGCCUUCGGGUUGUAAAGUACUUUCAGCGAGGAGGCGUUACUCGCAGAAGAAGCACCGGCUAACUCCGUGCCAGCAGCCGCGGUAAUAC
RNAcentral lists this ribosomal RNA (406 nucleotides) under uncultured bacterium. Its description in RNAcentral is "partial 16S ribosomal RNA". It matches the Rfam family "Bacterial small subunit ribosomal RNA", at positions 30 to 526 of the family's 1533-position model. The record is from RNAcentral.